UACGGGGGGAGCAAGCGUUGUUCGGAUUUACUGGGCGUAAAGAGCGCGCAGGCGGUCGGUCAAGUCGCGUGUGAAAGCCCCCGGCUCAACUGGGGAGGGUCACGCGAUACUGAUCGACUCGAAGGCAGGAGAGGGUAGUGGAAUUCCCGGUGUAGUGGUGAAAUGCGUAGAUAUCGGGAGGAACACCAGUGGCGAAGGCGACUACCUGGCCUGUUCUUGACGCUGAGGCGCGAAAGCUAGGGGAGCAAACGGG
RNAcentral lists this ribosomal RNA (253 nucleotides) under uncultured bacterium. RNAcentral describes it as "partial 16S ribosomal RNA". It matches the Rfam family "Bacterial small subunit ribosomal RNA", at positions 524 to 776 of the family's 1533-position model. The record is from RNAcentral.